RNAcentral lists this long non-coding RNA (845 nucleotides) under Rosa chinensis. RNAcentral's name for it is "sRNA RchiOBHm_Chr5g0052951". The record is from RNAcentral. Lineage: Eukaryota; Viridiplantae; Streptophyta; Magnoliopsida; Rosales; Rosaceae.
UGAUUACGGGGUGAAAGGUUUGAUCGAUUUUGAGUCCUUGAUCUUACUCUGAAGAAGAAGAAGAAUCACCCAGACACUGAGAAAGUUUUGAGGUGACUGGUUGUGACUGCAGGUGCUAACUAAGAUAAGUGCUACUUCACCAAAUCUCCCUGCUGUUUCUUCACUACUGCUUCUAAGCUCUUCUAGAACAAUUGGAGCAGGGGACUAAUGUGGAUCUCUGUGAUGUCAAGAUUUUGAAAUCGAUCAAAUCAACCAGUUUACAUGUCGUGGAUAACUGAAGUUAUCUCAAAGAAAGACUUGGCAAGAGUGUAGCUGGAAGUAUCAAAGAUUCAGAGUAUGGCAAAGGAAUGGAGGUGUCAGCAAGUGGCGACAUCUAUAGCUAUAAAAUCCUGCUAUUUGAGAUGUUGAUAGGCAAAAGAUUGACAGAUGACAUGUUUAAAGACGGCCUGAACUUGCAUAAAUUAUUCAAAUAAGGCUUUGGCCUCCUUAUCCUACUGGAUGGUGAUCAGAGCUGAGUCUUCUAGCCAUCCCGGUCAGCCAGCUUUUGAGCAAGCACUUGGAGCCUAUUAUUGAAGAGGAGCUUUUGAACGAGCACAUGGACACUAUUGAAGAGUGUAAGACUCGGCUUUGAUUAUCCAACAAGAUGCUACCAGUCUACUUUGUUCUUGGAAUUUUAUGAUCUGUACGUAAAUUUGAAUGCGUGACCGGGACGGCUAGAAGACUCAGCUCUUAUCAAGAUGCCACCAGUAUACUUUGUUCUUGGGAUUUUAUCAUUUGUACCUAAUUUUGAAUGCAUGGAAACUUUCUAAGUAUAUCAUGUCUUUUUUUCAUUUGAAAUUCAGCUU